This is a long non-coding RNA of Prosopis cineraria, 2260 nucleotides long. RefSeq lists it as uncharacterized. The record is from RefSeq and is a predicted model, not a curated record. The transcript has 5 exons. Lineage: Eukaryota; Viridiplantae; Streptophyta; Magnoliopsida; Fabales; Fabaceae.
UAGAGAUAUGCCUAUUGGGAGGAAUGGACAUUGUUUGAUGGUGAAGGUGCCAAAUUUCCUUUUCGUUAUCUUAGACAUUUGGGUUUAUAUGAUUGUCCAAUGUUGAAAGGAGACAUGCCCGACAACCUUCCAUCAUUGACAAAGGUUUUUAUCUCAAACUGCAAACGGUUGGAGGCAAAAUCAACAGAUUUGCAAUGGAUUGGAUCUAUUGAAAAAUUAUACAUUAAGCAAGGGGAACAUGGGUUAUUGAGAGAUCUUGAUAAUUGUUCUUUGGAUUCUUUGAAAUAUCUAAGAAUUGAGAAGUGUGAUAGCUUGCGGUCUUUGCCAAAAAUGAUAAUGGGUAGCUAUUUUCUUGUAAAGUUGUCUCUCAUAGAUAUCCCAUUAACCUUGUCCUUCCCAAUUGAUGGUUUGCCCACUUCUUUGCAGCAACUUAAAAUUGAAAAUUGUGAGAAAUUAGAGUUCCUAUCUCCGGAAUCUUGGCAAACCUUCACAUCACUUAAAGACUUGAAUAUUCAUAACAGUUGCCAUUCCUUGACAUCCUUUUCAUUAGGUUGUUUUCCCAAGCUUAAAAGGCUUGGCAUAGCAAUUGUCAUAAUUUAGAGACCUUUAUAUAUGUUGGGGGGUCUGCUCUUCCCUUAGAAUCCUUUCAGGUCAAAGAUUGCAAAAACCUUAGGUCAAUGUCAGAAGUACACAUUGAUUCCCUUGCCAACCUUCAAUCUUUUUAUUCUAAUAAGGCUUCCAAAUUUGGAAUCUUUGCCUCACUAUGGUUGCCUUCUAAUUUACAAUUUUUGAAGUUAGUGGCUGUGAGGGACUCUCUAGUAUACCAAUUGAAGAUUGGGGUUUUCAACAGUUGACUUCUCUCUCAACAUUGCAUAUUGAAGGUGAUGGAAGUGAAACUAUACUCCAUAAUUUACUAAACAAUCAACUACUACCCAAGUCUCUUGUGUAUAUCUACAUAUAUGAUUUCUCUAAUCUUAAACGGUUAGAUAGAAAAGGGCUUCGACACCUCACAUCUCUUGAAGAGCUCACCAUCUGGAACUGUUCAAACCUUGAAUCCUUGCUAGAAGAUGUGCUACCACCCUCUCUUCUUUUGCUAGAUAUCGUUGGGUGUCCUAAAUUAGAAGAAAGAUAUAAUUUUAAAGGAGGAAAACAUUUGUCCAAGAUCUCUCAUAUUCCAACCAUAAGAAUUAAUGGUGAAUUCUAUGAUCCUUGCGAUAGUGCAUUGCUUCAAAUGGUUAGAGAAGAGGAGGAAGCAGUCAAAAAGAGACAUAUAUGAUAUGCAUGCAGGGAAGGUAGGCAAUAAGCUAACCCAUGUUGUUGAGGCUAAGAAGCAGUUCUGGUUUUUUUCACUCUUUUUUAAUGUUCAAUUAAUUUUUCUUACAAAAACAUCUAAAAGCAUGAUCUGAUUCUUUGCUUUUAUAUUGUCAAGUUAGAAAAUAUGAAAGGAGUUCAGAAGAAUUGCUCCGUUUUCAGCACAAAAUGAUUCAAGAGCUUGUAAGAAAUGAAUUAACUAAUCCUCUCUUCGUAUUCUUGAAAUUCUGAAUCGAUUAUAUAUUGUACACACACGCACGCACACAAAACACAUGCAACACAUUUUAUGAUGGGUUCUACUUUUCAAAUUUAUUUUGUUAAAUAUUUUUUCUUUUCCUAAUAUUUUUUUAAUGAGUUAAAUAUUUUGUAGACUUUCACUUUAAUACCUUAGUCCUCUGGGAUUUUGUGACAUAUAUAGAACCUUCCAACAUUGAUAUUUCAAGGUAAAGGAUGAUCUUGAUCUAGUUGAGGCUUAAUUAUUUCGGAAUAAUACACUAAUCCAAUGUUUUUUAAUUUAAUAUAAUCAUUAUAUGAAAUUUCAAGUGACUACAAAUAUCUUAUUUUUAUAUUCUCACAUUACAUAUAAAGCAUAAAUCUAAAGUUUGACAAAAUAUUUUUCCUUUUCUAGGAUAUUGCCCUUUUUUUUUGAUGACUUAUUCUAAAAUUUCAUUAAGCAGAUAUUAUUGGCUUUGAAUAACCAGAGCAAUGGCCACGAGUCUAUUGAAAACCGUCACAUGUCAGAGGUGAGGACAUCAAUAGAAUUGCUGUGUUUUAAAGAACAGAGUCAUAUGGAAACAAGGAAGGCAGCUUUCUCAAUUGUCAUGUGGUUGAAUUGAAUCAUCAUUUCUAUGUUACUUCUGCAACAAUAAGGACAACAAAGACUUUUACUGAUAUUCCUUUGUCAUUGAAGAUUUUGUGAUACAAAGAUCUUCCAGGUAUUUCAAGGUAA